RNAcentral lists this long non-coding RNA (951 nucleotides) under Marmota monax (woodchuck). The record is from RNAcentral. Lineage: Eukaryota; Metazoa; Chordata; Mammalia; Rodentia; Sciuridae.
GUCGGAGGCCCUUGUGGGGUCCCCAAGAUGCUACCCCCUGAGAUUUGGGGCCAGUGGGCACAGAGACAAGUCUGUGUCUUGGCUGGGAGCAAGAGGCCACCCCCACCUCACCUGGCUGUGAACAGUGGGCCAGCAGAGCCCUGGGUCCCUGCUGGCCUGGCAGGCACUCCUUCAGGAAUCUGUGGUCACCACAAGGAGUCCACGCUUUGAGUGCACUGGCCAUUCAGGGGGGUUCAGAUUGCCAGGGGAAACUGAGGCUCAGGUUGGCCCAGGGUUCACUCAAUUUCUCAGACACCAAGAAUAGCCAGUCCUGACUCCGGGGGCUGCUCCGUCUCAGGUGAGGAACAGCAUCUUAGCCACCAGGAGGCAGAGCUGCUUGCGUGUUGAGGACGAGGGGAAAGGUGUGCUGGGGUCACAGGGUCCCAGGACGAGACCUGGGAGGAGACCCAGAGAGAGGGAAGAGGUGGCUCCAGAGUCCCCAGGUUGGAGGACAGCCAGACUGAGCUCCUCCUCCAGUCCUUUCAACCAGAGGCCCCCUACCUCUGACCCCAGGCCUGGCCACCCGGAGCCCUUGACUAACAAGGAGCCCUUGACUGCCACCAUCCUGCCUCACCCUGGGUGGGCAUUAGCUUGGUCAUUGCCCUGGCACUACUGAAACAAAAAAGCCCAGGGCAAAUGCUGGUGGCCACCUCCCUGGACAUCCAGAACAGGAUGGUGGCAGGCGGGAAGCCCGAGGACCUGUGGCCUAGCCUGGGAGAGCUGAUGUGUGGGGAUGAGUCCCGCUGCCCUGCCCCCAGGCCCCAGGGCAGUAGGUGUAGACACUAAUUAGCAGGCCCAGGACCUGGGGACUGGGGGGGGACUCACUCCCAGGCUGCUGGAAGUGGCCUUGGAGCCUGAGGGCAACUUGGUGCAGAGGGAGGGAGGUAAGGCAGGAUCUGAGCCUCCCCUGGA